Molecule: long non-coding RNA, 626 nt
Filed under: Populus tremula
Lineage: Eukaryota; Viridiplantae; Streptophyta; Magnoliopsida; Malpighiales; Salicaceae
Description: long non-coding RNA (PTRE_LNC002360)
Source: RNAcentral
ACCGUUAACACAUUCCUCUAUUAUACUUGAGAUUCUACGGUAGCAAACCAGUUCUCUCCUACACUCAACGCCGUGGAAAGGUGACAAAAUAAAUGAAGACCAACAGAAACGGUCUGGAAAUAACAACUAACAUGCAGAUAACAAUUUCCAAACGAAAAUAAAAUCUAAUAAGCGAUUACCUUCUAGAUAUUCGAGUGUCUGAUAUAAUUAUCCAUUGAGGGGGAAAACAGUGAUCAACCAUCUCAGUUUUGCAUCGUUUAGCAGCAACUAAUACAACCUCCCAGCAAAGUAACUAAGAUGCUACGAGCAUAAAUAUAACUUGCCUAAGAAUCUAGCCAUGGAUGUCUUCCUUGGUUCGAGAAUUCCAAAAACACCAACCCAAGUCAUCAGCUAGACAAAACAUCCAAGUUACUAAUCUUAUUUGCUGAAGUGAUUGACAUGAACUCCACUAGCUAUACCUCUGCAGGUUCUGGCCUUUCCACAUUCGUUGCCACAGGUUCUGGGCUAUCCAAAUCUGUUGCCACACACUUACAUAUAGGCAAGUUCUCAUUCCUACUCAGAAGCUUCAACGAUGGAUGAACCUCAAUAUCGCGCAUGUAUACUUUAUCUUCAAUAUCUAGAUUGCU